UCUAUUGACCCUGUGAUGACUAAUUUCUCAUCCCAGCACAGGUCCCAUAACUGGGGUGAACUGAGAGAUAUGGAGAGAAGUGCUGAGACAGUGUAAUUGCUACACCAGGACAUUAGCCUGAACAACUUAAAAGCUAUUGAUCCUGUGGUUCUGGGACAAAAUGAAAGAUCCUCUUCCUGCAGCCUAGAUCAUAGAAUGGUAAGCUAAAGGGACUUUGAAAAAACAUUUAAAUCUGUUUGGCCUUGCCAAAUGCAACUGAGGAAUUGAAUGAUUACUUAAUAAAGAUGGUUUGAGAGAAUGAAUCAUUGAAAACGUAAGAACUAGUAAAACAAAUUGUGAUAGCCAGACUUAGGUCCAUUUUGGGAUAUGUAACUUUGCUGAAGAAUUGCAAAGCUUAGUGAUCAAUCUAUGCUUCAAAAGCUGUUCUUUAUUCAGUCUCCUAAGUCAAGAGCCUUAUCAAGUGAAUUUUUGAAAAUACUCAUGCUUGUGUUUCACACAGAGUACAGGAAAUGCAGUGUCAGUGUUGCCACAGUAAUGAUGUAACCCGAUGCAUCCGGGAGGUUAUUUUAGCCACAGAAUUUAUUUUAAUGAUUUUGCAAAUGACUUCCAUCCUGUAUUUCAGAGUCAUCAAGGCUGCGAAGGUAUCAUAUGAAUUUUCCUGCAAUGCUUUACUGCAUUGAGUGGAGAAUAAGCUCUAUGCCACUAUAGGUUUUUUUUUUAAUAAGUGUGAGUAUUUGCAAAGCAUCUGGGCUAUUCCCUCAGGAAUGUCAAGGGUCCAAGUACAAAAGGGCCUUCUGGUGAUAGAGAGAUUGCGUUUCCCUACUCCAUCUUGACAUCCAUAUUUCACAGAAGAGAAUGACUUUUCUCAAGGUUAUUUAGUUGGAAAGUGGUAGAGCUGCAAUUAGAACCCAGAAUUAUUAGCCUAAAAUCAGGAACUAUUUCUAACUUGCAUAAACAAUACCUAAGGCUAUGGUCUGUGGAGGUAGGCUGA
This is a long non-coding RNA of Perognathus longimembris pacificus (Pacific pocket mouse), 991 nucleotides long. RefSeq lists it as uncharacterized. The transcript is spliced from 2 exons. Lineage: Eukaryota; Metazoa; Chordata; Mammalia; Rodentia; Heteromyidae. The record is from RefSeq and is a predicted model, not a curated record.